AUGCUAAUCCAGCUCCAGUCCUUGAAUUUUCCUAGUUUCUCCUCCCCCAAUUUUCUCACCCUGGAAACAUAAUGCCAUCUUUCUGCAGAGAUGUACAUAUUCAAGAACAUAAGUCUUAGUAUCUUUUGGCUUGACUUUGAGCAACUCAUCUACAUCAUAAAAUCCAAGCCCUUGCUUCCUAUGAUAUCUGCAUCCAUCAACCA
This 203-nucleotide unclassified non-coding RNA is filed under the name Hevea brasiliensis (rubber tree). The record is from RNAcentral. Lineage: Eukaryota; Viridiplantae; Streptophyta; Magnoliopsida; Malpighiales; Euphorbiaceae.